UACGUAGGGGACGAGCGUUGUCCGGAAUUACUGGGAGUAAAGGGCGCGCAGGCGGUAUAUCAAGUCAGCUGUCAAAGACUGGGGCUCAACCCUGGUAUGCGGUUGAAACUGAUAUGCUGGAGUGCUGUAGAGGCAAGUGGAAUUCCCAGUGUAGCGGUGAAAUGCGUAGAUAUUGGGAAGAACACCGGUGGCGAAGGCGACUUGCUGGGCAGCAACUGACGCUGAGGCGCGAAAGCCAGGGGAGCAAACGGGGAUUAGA
RNAcentral lists this ribosomal RNA (259 nucleotides) under uncultured prokaryote. RNAcentral's name for it is "partial 16S ribosomal RNA". It matches the Rfam family "Bacterial small subunit ribosomal RNA", at positions 524 to 782 of the family's 1533-position model. The record is from RNAcentral.